GACCACUUGAAAAAAAAGUUCAGAUUUUUUGUAAUGUUGAAUUCUCUCUAUUAUAAGUAAUAGGAUAACUAUAUUUGAUAUGUGUGUACCUUGCAAGGUCCUCAUGUCUGUCAGACAGUUUUCACUUGACCUCGACCUCAUUUCAUGGAUCAGUGAACAAGGUUAAGUUUUGGUGGUCAAGUCCAUAUCUCAGACACUAUAAGCAAUAGGGCUAGUAUAUUCGGUGUAUGGAAGGACUGUAAGGUGUACAUGUCCAACUGGCAGGUGUCAUCUGACCUUGACCUCAUUUUCAUGGUUCAGUGGUUAUAGUUAAAUUUUUGUGUUUUGGUCUGUUGUUCUCAUACUAUAUGCAAUAGGUCUACUAUAUUUGUUGUAUGGAAUGAUUGUAAGGUGUACAUGUCUAGCGGGCAGAUGUCAUGUGACCUUGACCUCAUUUUCAUGGUUCAGUGGUCAAAGUUAAGUUUUUGAGUUUUGGUCUUUUUAUCUAAUACUAUAUGCCAUAGGUCAACUAUAUUUGGUGUAUGGAAAUAUUUAAUGAUCUUUAUGUCAGUCGCGCAGGUUUUAUUUGACCGUGACCUCAUUUUCACGGUUCAUUGCACAGUGUUAAGUUUUUGUGUUUUGG
Molecule: long non-coding RNA, 622 nt
Filed under: Mytilus galloprovincialis (Mediterranean mussel)
Lineage: Eukaryota; Metazoa; Mollusca; Bivalvia; Mytilida; Mytilidae
Source: RNAcentral